AAAUUUUUUUUUGUCGGUUCGUAUUUGUAGUAUAUACACCUUUAAUUGAAAACAUCUUUCAAUUAAAUACUUUCAUUUUUUUUUGUUGAACUCUGAAUUUCUAAUUUUUUUUCUUUUGUUUCAUUUGAAAUUUGUCUACCAGAUUUAUCAUAUCUCAACCGGAUUGAUUGAUUCGAAUCGAAUCACUUUGUUGUUGCUAUCGGUUACGAUCAAACAAAUUUUUUGUUUGUUUGUUUGUUCGUUAUCAUUUUCAUACGAAUACCUAACCUUCAUCUACCUACAACUGACUGGAUUUUUUUUUUGUUAUUGUUGAUUUUAUUCAUGCAUUCUACUUCAUACACACAUACACAAACACACAAGCAUCCAUUAUACACAGACACUUCGCAAUAUUGAUUCAGUUUUUUUUUUCAUUCAUCAUGAUAUGAUGAUCAUUAUCAUUUCACAGACACAACAGACAAAUAUACACUUACCGAAAGAGAUCAUGACCAUGAUAUAAUUGCUAAUAAUCUUGUCAUGUUCUUUUGUUGUUACUAACCAAGUUCUCAUUGUCAUUGAAUAAUAAUCAUGAUCAGCAUAAGUUAUAUUAGAUGUCUCUUAAAAUAUUUGUAAUCAUGUGAUUGAAAAUUUUUGAAUUUUUUUUUGAAGUAUAUAGGAAUACGUGCUAUAGAGAAUUGAGUGAAAAGUGAAAGUGAAAAGUUCAACACAUCAUGACUUUAGGGCGUUGGCGUCUAUUAGAUCCAUACACACACAGAUGAUAUAUAAACUUUAUUGUACCUUCACUAUUCGAUAUACUAGAAUUUAUUAUCGGUUUGUGAUAAUAUAAAUCCAGUAUUCUUUCUUUCUCAUCUAGACAUACAUACACACAUACCGAACAUCUUUAUCCUUGAGUUUAUUUUUUUUUGUUCUUUUGUCAUUGGCAAAUUUUUUUUUUUGCUGUUUUUGUUCUUGUUGCAGAGUUCAAAUUCGGCCAAAUGCCUUCAAACACAAUCACGCAAUACUUAAUGCAUUUACAUCACAUCAAACAACCUCCACCCAAAAAUGGGUCUGUCCCAAAUGUAUGCUUUAUUCAUACAAAAAAAAAAAAAAACAUACAUACACACAUGACAACCACCACCACCACAAUCAGUAGAAGUAGCCAAAGAUUUUAUUUUUACCGGAUUCUUUUUUUACUCUGUUUUCUGGUGCCUGCGUAUAAAUGCUUUCAGUAAUGUAUGAAAAUUAGGGUGGCUGGUUCAACAAAUUUGUUCGCAUUCUUUUGGUUCAUUUCUCCUUCUUCGUAUGUAUGUGUGUGUGUACCAUACUUAGCCACUAAUAUAAGGUUCAACAACCAUCAAAUCAAUCGACUCUUACACAUAUCAAACACUUGUUCCGUUUGAGACAAAAAAUGCAUGAUACUUUACAUUCUGUGCAUCGAAUACGUAAUAUUCAUUCAUGUUUGUUCAUUCUCUCAUCGUUCAUCAACUUGUAUCAU
Dermatophagoides farinae (American house dust mite) is the source of this 1471-nucleotide non-coding RNA. NCBI's taxonomy places the organism in Eukaryota, Metazoa, Arthropoda, Arachnida, Sarcoptiformes, Pyroglyphidae. The record is from RefSeq and is a predicted model, not a curated record.